Molecule: ribosomal RNA, 460 nt
Filed under: uncultured bacterium
Lineage: Bacteria
Description: partial 16S ribosomal RNA
Rfam family: Bacterial small subunit ribosomal RNA
Source: RNAcentral
CCUACGGGAGGCUGCAGUGAGGAAUAUUGGUCAAUGGACGAGAGUCUGAACCAGCCAAGUAGCGUGAAGGAUGACUGCCCUAUGGGUUGUAAACUUCUUUUAUAUGGGAAUAAAAUGUUACACGUGUGGGAUUUUGUAUGUACCAUAUGAAUAAGGAUCGGCUAACUCCGUGCCAGCAGCAGCGGUAAUACGGAGGAUCCGAGCGUUAACCGGAUUUAGUGGGGUUAAAGGGAGCGUAGGUGGAUUGUUAAGUCAGUUGUGAAAGUUUGCGGCUCAACCGUAAAAUUGCAGUUGAAACUGGCAGUCUUGAGUACAGUAGAGGUGGGCGGAAUUCGUGGUGUAGCGGUGAAAUGCUUAGAUAUCACGAAGAACUCCGAUUGCGAAGGCAGCUCACUGGACUGCAACUGACACUGAGGCUCGAAAGUGUGGGUAUCAAACAGAAUUAGAUACCCCAGUAGUC